This 77-nucleotide small RNA is filed under the name Xanthomonas arboricola. RNAcentral describes it as "sX9 sRNA". It matches the Rfam family "Xanthomonas sRNA sX9". Lineage: Bacteria; Pseudomonadati; Pseudomonadota; Gammaproteobacteria; Lysobacterales; Lysobacteraceae. The record is from RNAcentral. RNAcentral also lists the same sequence under 1 other name.
AUGUGCCACGCGCGCACUGCGGUUCUGGGCGCGCCGUCCGCAACCAUUUGGCGCCUGCUCGCCAGGUGUCAUCAGCC